UCCUACGGGAGGCAGCAGCAAGGAAUCUUGCGCAAUGGGCGAAAGCCUGACGCAGCAACGCCGCGUGGGGGAAGAAGGCUCUCGGGUCGUAAACCCCUUUUGCAGGGGAAGUAACUGACGGUACCCUGCGAAUAAGCCACGGCUAACUACGUGCCAGCAGCCGCGGUA
RNAcentral lists this ribosomal RNA (168 nucleotides) under uncultured Thermodesulfovibrio sp. RNAcentral's name for it is "partial 16S ribosomal RNA". It matches the Rfam family "Bacterial small subunit ribosomal RNA", at positions 337 to 522 of the family's 1533-position model. The record is from RNAcentral. Lineage: Bacteria; Pseudomonadati; Nitrospirota; Thermodesulfovibrionia; Thermodesulfovibrionales; Thermodesulfovibrionaceae.